Molecule: long non-coding RNA, 1236 nt
Filed under: Homo sapiens (human)
Lineage: Eukaryota; Metazoa; Chordata; Mammalia; Primates; Hominidae
Description: HSALNT0158576
Source: RNAcentral
GCCUGGCUGCGAGGCCCUUCCUCUUUUCAUGACUCUGGGAGGCUCUGGACUAAACAAGAGCAGCGUCUACAGUGACUGCCGUGGGCUGCUGCACCUGAGUCCAGGAUCCCACUUGUUUCUACCCCCUGCGCAUCCCAGGCCUUUCUUCACCUCCAGAAGCAGUGGUUUCGGAGCUGCCUAUUUCUGUCUAAAAGUGGCGUCUGCAGUAGCCCAUGUUGUGCUGCUUCUGCCAAUGGCCAGGAUGGGCGUGGGCAGGGACUCCUGAUGGGUGGACGUGACGGGGCCACCUUAGGAAGUCCACCAGCCCCUUCCAAGUGUUCAUUGUUGGACAAGGCUUUUUUUUUUUUUUUUGGAAAGAAACCUGGCUAGAGAGGGGGAGAGUGUGGGGCCCACAGUGGAAAAGCCUUGGCCGGGCAGCCAGGCCUCUCUGCUGGGCCCACGUUUGCUCUCUUGAUGCCUCAGACCCCAGGAAGCCCAGAGACCACAGGUCGGCUCCAAGUUCAUGUUUCUCCCUUUUCCUUAGACAUGACAUCCUCGGAAACAUCUCGUAAUCAGCAGCUUUCGGAAGUAAAUCAUUGUGAGCUGGAAGGACGGGAAACAUAUCUGGGGAGCUGGGGUUGGGGGUGGAGAGCCUCUUGGGGGGCAGAGGUGGGUUGGGCACCACUCCACAACUGGGGAUGAAAUAAAGAGAGACAGAACUCACAUGCAUAUGAGUGGCUUUUCCAUGUCACCUGUCUUCUUGGGAGAGGCCUAGACAAUGCAGCUGUGGAUGUGAUUAAUGAGCCACCGGCCACACCUGGCACAGCGGUGCAGGUGGAAGCCAGGGAACUUCCCUUUCUCCCUGUCAGUUAUCCUGCGCUGUGCUGGGAACACGCUCUGGUUUCUGCAGAGGAGAUAAGCAAGUCCUGGGGAGAACAUGGACGUUUGGCAGCCAGCGAGAAAGAAAGGAGGGGAAGGCCUGGAGAUUGGGGUGACAGCCCUUAUUGGUGUCACUGAAACGUGUGUGGUUAAUCUCAGUCCUUGGGAUCCACAUAAAACCACGUGAAUGUGCUUCUCAUCUAAUAAAUUAUAUAUGAAGGAUGCUGAAAGCAGGGCCUUGGAGAGAGAUGUGUGUACCCGUGUUCACAGUUCACAGCAGCAUUCCUCCAGUUACCAAGAGGUGGAAGCAACCCAAAGUCCAUCGAUGGAAAAAUGAAGCCCCGUCUCUGCUGCAGGUGGAGUUUGCAGCCAGCAGGA